This 731-nucleotide ribosomal RNA is filed under the name uncultured bacterium. RNAcentral's name for it is "bacterial SSU rRNA". It matches the Rfam family "Bacterial small subunit ribosomal RNA", at positions 771 to 1501 of the family's 1533-position model. The record is from RNAcentral.
AACAGGAUUAGAUACCCUGGUAGUCCACGCCGUAAACGAUGUCAACUAGUUGUUCGUGUCAUUAAGACGUGAGUAACGCAGCUAACGCACUAAGUUGACCGCCUGGGGAGUACGGCCGCAAGGUUAAAACUCAAAUGAAUUGACGGGGGCCCGCACAAGCGGUGGAGCAUGUGGUUUAAUUCGAUGCAACGCGAAGAACCUUACCAUCCCUUGACAUCCAGUGAAUUUUUCAGAGAUGAAUUAGUGCCUUCGGGAACACUGAGACAGGUGCUGCAUGGCUGUCGUCAGCUCGUGUUGUGAGAUGUUGGGUUAAGUCCCGCAACGAGCGCAACCCUUAUCCUUAGUUGCCAGCACGUAAAGGUGGGAACUCUGGGGAGACUGCCGGUGAUAAACCGGAGGAAGGUGGGGACGACGUCAAGUCAUCAUGGCCCUUACGGGAUGGGCUACACACGUGCUACAAUGGCGCAUACAAAGGGCAGCAAGCCAGCGAUGGUUAGCGAAUCUCAUAAAGUGCGUCGUAGUCCGGAUCGGAGUCUGCAACUCGACUCCGUGAAGUCGGAAUCGCUAGUAAUCGUGAAUCAGAAUGCCACGGUGAAUACGUUCCCGGGCCUUGUACACACCGCCCGUCACACCAUGGGAGUGGGCUGCACCAGAAGUGGUUAGUUUAACCUUCGGGAGAACGAUCACCACGGUGUGGUUCAUGACUGGGGUGAAGUCGUAACAAGGUAACC